GGUCCUGUAGCUCAGUUGGUAGAGCAUCGGAUUGAAAAUCCGUGUGUCGGCGGUUCGAGCCCGCCUGGGACCACCA
This 76-nucleotide transfer RNA is filed under the name Candidatus Pelagibacter communis. RNAcentral's name for it is "tRNA-Phe". It matches the Rfam family "tRNA". From Rfam's summary of the family: Transfer RNA (tRNA) molecules are approximately 80 nucleotides in length. Their secondary structure includes four short double-helical elements and three loops (D, anti-codon, and T loops). The record is from RNAcentral. RNAcentral also lists the same sequence under 2 other names. Lineage: Bacteria; Pseudomonadati; Pseudomonadota; Alphaproteobacteria; Candidatus Pelagibacterales; Candidatus Pelagibacteraceae.